CUAGACACGGAAAGAGGUCAUUGAAAUAAUCAUGGCUACCGUCACAGAGCAAAACAUUUUUUGGAGCACACUGUGCUACCCUGCGGUGGAAGUUGCAAGACCUUUGAGAAUUUGUGGCUCUUGAGAAUUCAUCCUCACCCUGCAAACUAAGGAACCACGUGAAGCUGAUCCAUUAAGUCCUGUGUUGCUCCUUGUUGGACAGGUCUUCUAAUACAUCAUGAGAAGAGUGGAAGUGAUCUGACAAGAAUGGAAUAAUGCAGCACAUUGGUUUCUCAUAGAGGACUAACAAGUCCAGGGCUUACAUGGGAUAUGUUCUGGAUGGAAGAGCACCUCUGGCUGGACCUGAAGCCAUUAGACCAAUCCUGGACAGGAAGGCUAUGGUUUCAGCCUGUGAAGAUUGCAU
Molecule: long non-coding RNA, 403 nt
Organism: Megalops cyprinoides (Indo-Pacific tarpon)
Lineage: Eukaryota; Metazoa; Chordata; Actinopteri; Elopiformes; Megalopidae
Exons: 6
Source: RefSeq, a predicted model, not a curated record